This 434-nucleotide ribosomal RNA is filed under the name uncultured bacterium. RNAcentral's name for it is "partial 16S ribosomal RNA". It matches the Rfam family "Bacterial small subunit ribosomal RNA", at positions 341 to 792 of the family's 1533-position model. The record is from RNAcentral.
ACGGAAGGCAGCAGUGGGGGAUAUUGCACAAUGGGGGAAACCCUGAUGCAGCGACGCCGCGUGAGUGAUGAAGUAUUUCGGUAUGUAAAGCUCUAUCAGCAGGGAAGAUAAUGACGGUACCUGACUCAGAAGCACCGGCUAAAUACGUGCCAGCAGCCGCGGUAAUACGUAUGGUGCAAGCGUUAUCCGGAUUUACUGGGUGUAAAGGGAGCGUAGACGGCAAGGCAAGCCAGCGGUGAAAGGCUGGGGCUCAACCCCGGGAGUGCAUUUGGAACUGUCUAGCUAGAGUAUCGGAGAGGUAAGUGGAAUUCCUAGUGUAGCGGUGAAAUGCGUAGAUAUUAGGAGGAACACCAGUGGAGAAGGCGGCUUACUGGACGAUAACUGACGUUGAGGCUCGAAAGCGUGGGGAGCAAACAGGAUUAGAUACCCUGGUA